This 92-nucleotide transfer RNA is filed under the name Planctomycetota bacterium. RNAcentral describes it as "Planctomycetes bacterium (bioreactor metagenome) tRNA-Ser". It matches the Rfam family "tRNA". Rfam says of the family: Transfer RNA (tRNA) molecules are approximately 80 nucleotides in length. Their secondary structure includes four short double-helical elements and three loops (D, anti-codon, and T loops). The record is from RNAcentral. Lineage: Bacteria; Pseudomonadati; Planctomycetota.
GGAGAGAUGGCUGAGUGGCCGAUAGCGCCGGCUUGCUAAGCCGGUGUACUCCUCACGGGGUACCGAGGGUUCGAAUCCCUCUCUCUCCGCCA